Molecule: long non-coding RNA, 404 nt
Filed under: Brachypodium distachyon (stiff brome)
Lineage: Eukaryota; Viridiplantae; Streptophyta; Magnoliopsida; Poales; Poaceae
Description: long non-coding RNA (BDIS_LNC005332)
Source: RNAcentral
GCCACAUGGACUUGGAUUUAAAAUGGCCUACUAAUAUAUAUUCACGCGUGGCAAUCUGCAAAUACAUGAGCUCUGGAAGAGGAUAUUACAGCUUGUUUAAUGCAUUAAUUGGAGUGCCAAGUGGGGUGUCAAAUAUUUUCAUUCUAGUGGGUACAGGUGGCAGCUGACCCAUGUGCAAAUACUUGGCGGCGUAGAAGCCACCACAUUUAUUUAUUUCAGGAUCAACUUUCUCUGCGCAGCAGUAUUGCACACUAAAAAAAAAAACUAUGGCAUCACAAAACAUGUAUGUAAGCUACGGAGUAUUAUAAAACUUUGCUGGGAACUGGUUCUUCAUUCUUCACUUGCAAAGGUGCAAUGGAAACCAGGAGUAGCAGUGGCCGGCCGGGAGAGGGGAGAGGGGAGCC